Molecule: long non-coding RNA, 540 nt
Organism: Micropterus dolomieu (smallmouth bass)
Lineage: Eukaryota; Metazoa; Chordata; Actinopteri; Centrarchiformes; Centrarchidae
Exons: 4
Source: RefSeq, a predicted model, not a curated record
CUUCCUCUUAAAAGUGUACAUUGUACUUCAUUACCCAGAAACACUACGGGGAUAAUAAACGAAAUGUCCUUUUCUCAGUUGGAGUAUAUACGUGCGUGGGGAGCGAAGUAGAGUUUUGCCACCAAAAGCUGGACCUUCCAGAUUACAGCCCUCCGCCCACACUAAAGCAGCAAGAUGGCGCAAGCUGUCCAGUGAGGAUUGGGGCUGUGUGGAAAGAGAGCGUUGCCUUCAGGGCCCCAUCUGGUCGUCCAAAGGGAAAGCAGUACCUGCAGAUGCAAAACGUGGGCGGUCAUCACAUUUAGAAACAAUCUCAAGGACAACUGUAUGAAAAAGAAGAAGAAUAGGAAAAUGGAAGCAGAGGCAGAGAGACGUCAGUCAGCGUCAACAGAUGGCUGCCUCCUUUCAUCUAAUUACACUGAUGAAGGAAGAUUUUCUCACCUCCAGCUCCAUCUGAGCGCAGACGAGGCGGUUCAGGGAGGUUUCAUGUUGCUAAAUUGACAAGUGAACAGAACUAAAUAAACAAAGGCACGCGGUCACGCA